Molecule: unclassified non-coding RNA, 354 nt
Filed under: soil metagenome
Description: partial contains 5.8S ribosomal RNA, internal transcribed spacer 2, and large subunit ribosomal RNA
Rfam family: 5.8S ribosomal RNA (bases 1-120)
Source: RNAcentral
GAUGAAGAACGUAGCGAAAUGCGAUAAGUAAUGUGAAGUGCAGAAUUCAGUGAAUCAUCGAAUCUUUGAACGCACAUUGCGCCCAUUAGUAUUCUAGUGGGCAUGCCUGUUCGAGCGUCAUUAAGUCCACUUAAGCCCUGCUUAGUGUUGGGAGACUGCUCCAGCGGUGCUACCCUGUAGCUACCCUGCAGCUCCUCAAAGACAGCGGCGGAGUUGUGGUAUCCUCUGAGCUUAGUAACUUGUUCUAGCUUUCGAGUACACCACUUCCCCUGCCGUAAAACCCUUAAUUUUUAAUGGUUGACCUCGGAUCAGGUAGGAAUACCCGCUGAACUUAAGCAUAUCAAAAGCGGAGGA